This 469-nucleotide long non-coding RNA is filed under the name Olea europaea (common olive). Its description in RNAcentral is "long non-coding RNA (OEUR_LNC002270)". Lineage: Eukaryota; Viridiplantae; Streptophyta; Magnoliopsida; Lamiales; Oleaceae. The record is from RNAcentral.
AUCGUAAUAGCAGCAACCCCUUCUCCUUCACUCGUCCAUUUCCAUUCCCAUUGACCAUUUUCUUUCCUUUGAAAUUCGUCGAAAUAACAGAUUGGGACACACGCUUUUGCCAUAUCUGCAUUACGAAUUAAAAAUAUCAGAAUAAAUUAUCAAAAAAAAAUUAUCAGAAAAAAAUUAUCAGAAUCGAGGGGCGGGGGAGUCUGCAAACGGAAUCGUCGUUAAAUCCGUCGUUCCGACGUCUGAUCGGUGCCGGCCUGAACUUUGACUCUAAUAUUAUUUUUUCUACCAUUUAAAAAAAAUAUACGAUUUCAAUAAAAAUAAAAUUAAAUACUACGAAAAGAUACUUACCGAAUUGAAGUGCUGAAAUUUAACUAUAUUUUUCUGUUGAGGUUGAUAACUGAUAAGUUUAUGAAAUUUUGAGGUUGAAGUGGAUGAAAAAUGGAAGAGUUUUUAUCGUGUUAGAGUAAAC